CUUCACAAUAUAGAUAAAAUAGCAUUUUGAACCAUUGAUGACUGAUAGAGACAAAAAUAGUCAUCUUGUCCAGUACAAGACAAACUUUUGGAAAGAAAAAUAAUAGAGGCAGUGGUGAAUUUGCAAAGGUGCUGGAAAACACUAGCUCCUAUCUAAAUCAUGCCAAAAUCCAAAGAUUCAAACAAAUUUAGAUGUCAACACCCUUUUUUUAUAAGUUUGCACUGAAAAAAGGAUGCAUCAACAAUGAUAUGGAAUAGAAGCAAUGCCAUCUAAAUAACAAAAACAGAACUUGUAUGACAAAUUAUCAGAAUCCUAACCUGCAUUUUUAUACGAUGGCCAUCCAUAUGAUGAUCCAAGAAAAUACUGAUUUUCAAU
RNAcentral lists this unclassified non-coding RNA (375 nucleotides) under Hevea brasiliensis (rubber tree). The record is from RNAcentral. Lineage: Eukaryota; Viridiplantae; Streptophyta; Magnoliopsida; Malpighiales; Euphorbiaceae.